AUGACCCAGCUCCAUCUGGAACGUAACAGGCUGGUGCUGACCUGCAUGGCGGAGGGAAGCUGGCCACUAGAGUUUAAAUGGAUCCACAAUAGCACAGAAUUAACACGCUUUUCACUGGAGUACAGGUACCUAAUCCCUUCACUGGACCGCUCCCAUGCUGGCUUUUACCGCUGCAUUGUGAGAAAUCGGGUGGGAGCCCUUCUGCAGAGGCGCACAGAAGUACAAGUGGCCUUUAUGGGCAGUUUUGAGGAAGGCGAACGCACCCAGUCAGUCUCUCAGGGAGAGGGUGCUGUGAUUCCAGCGCCACGCAUCCGCAGCUUCCCUCAGCCACAAGUCACCUGGUUCAGAGAUGGGCGCAAGAUUCCACCCAGCAGCCGCAUUGCCAUUACUUUGGACAACACGCUGGUUAUCUUGUCUACUGUGGCACCGGAUGCCGGACGCUACUAUGUGCAAGCUGUAAAUGACAAGAAUGGAGAGAACAAGACCAGCCAGCCCAUCACCUUGUCAGUAGAGAAUGUUGGCGGUCCAGCAGAUCCCAUUGCCCCCACCAUUAUCAUCCCUCCCAGGAACACCAGUGUGGUCACAGGCACAUCAGAGGUCACGAUGGAGUGUGUGGCCAAUGCCAGACCUCUUAUCAAGCUGAGUAUCUCAUGGCGUAAGAACGGCGUGUUGGUGAACAGCGGUUUGAGUGACUUCAACCGCAGACUGACCAUCCUGAGUCCUGUGGUGAGCGACGCCGGCUACUACGAGUGUGAGGCCAUUCUCCGCAGCAGCAGCGUGCCUUCAGUCAGUGCUGGGGCUUAUCUGCAUGUCCUUGAGCCACCACAGUUUAUAAAGGAACCGGAGAAACACAUCACAGCUGAGAUGGAGAAGGUGGUUGACAUUCCCUGUCAGGCACGGGGAGUGCCCCAGCCAGACAUUGUGUGGUACAAGGAUGCUUUGCCUAUCGACCCAGUGAGGACACCCAGGUACAGGGUGUUGGUGGGCGGCAGCCUCCAGGUCAACGGCCUACUGCCUGAUGACACCGGCAUGUUCCAGUGCUUUGCCCGAAAUUCAGCCGGAGAAGUUCAGACCAACACUUACCUGGCUGUUACAAGCAUUGCCCCGAAUAUCACAGCCGGACCCUCUGAUAGCACUGUGAUCGACGGGAUGUCAGUCAUUCUGCACUGUGAGACCUCUGGAGCUCCAAGGCCAGCUAUCACCUGGCAAAAAGGUGAGCGCGUGUUAGCCAGCGGUUCAGUCCAGCUGCCCCGGUUCACCCUGCUUGAAUCGGGCAGCUUGCUCAUCUCGCCUUCACACAUCUCUGAUGCCGGGACCUACACUUGCAUGGCAAGCAACUCCAGGGGCAUUGACGAGGCAUCUGCUGACCUUGUUGUUUGGGCUCGCACUCGGAUUACCACCCCCCCACAGGACCAGAGCGUUAUCAAAGGAACUAAAGCCAUUAUGAACUGUGGAGUCACACACGACCCAAGUGUGACAUCUUUGUAUUCCAGGCAUGUCUGGGAAAAAGAGGGCUCAGUCAUAAACGUUCAGUCCAUCCCCCGCAUGCGGCUAGAUGCAGAUGGUACGCUUCACAUCUCCCAAACCUGGUCAGGUGACAUAGGCACCUACACAUGCCGAGUGACCUCUGUUGGAGGCAACGACUCCCGCAGCGCGCACCUCCGUGUCAGACAGUUGCCCCAUGCCCCAGAGAACCCUACGGCCGUGCUGAGCAAAUCUGAAAAAAGAGCCAUCGACCUGGCUUGGGCCAAGCCUUUUGAUGGCAACAGUCCCCUCAUACGCUAUAUCCUGGAGGUUUCUGAGAACAAUGCUCCCUGGGCCAUCCUGCUGGCCAAUAUUGAACCUGAGUCCACAGCAGUGACGGUCAACGGCUUGAUCCCAGCUCGCUCCUAUCAGUUCCGCCUCUGUGCUGUUAAUGAUGUGGGGAAGGGACAGUUUAGCAAGGAGACAGACCGGGUCUCUCUCCCAGAGGAGCCCCCCAGUGCUCCUCCUCAAAAUGUCAUUGCUAGUGGUCGAACCAACCAAUCUAUCAUGAUCCAGUGGCAGCCUCCGCCGGAAAGCCACCAGAACGGCAUCCUCAGAGGCUACAUCGUUCGGUACCGUCUCACUGGGCUGCCUGUGGACAACCAAAUCAAGAACAUUUCCAGCCCGGAUGUGACCACGCUGCUGCUGGAAGACCUCAUCAUCUGGACCAAUUAUGAGAUUGAGGUGGCUGCCUAUAAUGGGGCAGGUUUGGGCACUUUCAGCCAUAAGGUUACUGAGUGGACCCUGCAAGGAGUGCCCACCAUAGCUCCAGGCAACGUGCAGGCCGAGGCGGUCAACUCAACAACUAUCCGUUUUACGUGGACAGCCCCUAACCCCCAGUUCAUCAACGGCAUUAACCAGGGCUACAAGUUGCUGGCCUGGGAACCUGGCAAGGAUGACGAAGUUGCCAUGGUAACAGUACGACCGAACUUCCAGGACAGCGUCCAUGUGGGAUAUGUGACAGGUCUGAAGAAGUUCACUGAGUAUUACACCUCUGUGCUGUGCUUCACGACACCCGGAGACGGCCCCCGCAGCCCGCCUAAAGCAUUGAGGACGCAUGAGGACACCCCCGGUGCAGUGGGUCAUCUGAGUUUCACCGAGAUUUUGGACACCUCACUCAAAGUCAGCUGGAGUGAGCCCAGCGAGAAGAAUGGAGUUCUCACAGGUUACCGCAUUUCUUGGGAGGAGUACAACCGAACAAACACCAGAGUCACCCACUACCUGCCCAAUGUCACCUUAGAGUACAGGGUCACUGGGCUCACUGCUCUCACCACCUACACUAUUGAAGUGGCAGGAAUGACCUCCAAGGGCCAGGGCAUGCUGUCCUCCUCCACCAUUUCCUCCGGUGUCCCACCAGAGCUUCCUGGCCCUCCUACCAACAUGGCAAUUUCCAAUAUUGGCCCACGCUCCAUCAAUCUGCAGUUCAAACCUGGCUAUGAUGGCAAAACUUCUAUUUCCCGCUGGCUAGUGGAGGCCCAGGUGGGUGCGGUAGGAGAAAAUGAGGAUUGGUUGAUGGUCCACCAGGUGUUCAACGAACCUGAGGCUCGCUCCUUAGAGGUGCCAGGUCUCAACCCAUAUACCUUUUACAGGUUUCGCAUGCGUCAGGUGAACAUAGUGGGUACCAGUCCUCCCAGCCAGCCCUCCAGAAAAAUUCAGACCCUACCAGCUCCUCCCGACAUGGCCCCUGCCAACGUCACCCUGCGCACCGCUAGCGAAACAAGCCUCUGGUUACGAUGGAUGCCUUUGCCUGAAUGGGAAUAUAAUGGGAAUGCAGAGCAGGUGGGCUACAGGGUUCAGUACUCCCGUGCAGGCUCACAGGGCCAUCCACUCACCCAUGUUAUUACCGACCGUCUGGAGAGAGAGUUUACUAUUGAGGACCUGGAGGAGUGGACAGAAUAUGAGGUCAGGGUCCAGGCUGUCAACGGCAUUGGAGUGGGACCCUGGAGCCAACCGGUCAGAGGCAGGACACGGGAGUCUGGUGAGUUCCACGCUGUGGAAAAACACUGUUUUGUUUGGAAAAGUAAUGCACAAACUUCAAUAGAUUAUCAGGUGGUGUAUAAAGAAAAAGACUCGGACAGUCCAGUCCACUUCUGGACAGUAGAGGGAAAUGCCACUCACAGUGUCCAGCUGACUGGUCUGGGGAAAUAUGUGCUCUAUGAGAUCCAAGUUCUGGCAUUCACACGGAUUGGAGAUGGACGGCCGAGCUCUCCACCUAUUCUUGAAAGGACCUUGGAUGAUGUCCCAGGACCUCCAGUGGGUAUCCUGUUCCCUGAAGUCCGAACCACCUCAGUCCGCCUUAUUUGGCAGUCCCCUGCCCAGCCGAAUGGCAUUAUACUUGCCUACCAGAUCACGUACCACCUCAACUCCACCAAUAGCAACACAGCCACAGUGGAUGUGCUGAACCCCAGCGCCCGCCAGUACACGGUGACUAACCUCAAGCCAGAAACUGUCUAUGUGUUUCGCAUCACGGCACAGACAAGGAAAGGCUGGGGUGAGGCGGCCGAGGCACUCGUGGUUACCACGGAGAAAAGAGCUCGUCCUCAGCCUACCAGCCGCCCCCUGGUUCCUCAAAAACACGUUCAGGCUCGCCAGGUGUUACUUUCAUGGGAGCCUGGUAGUGACGGCCUGUCCCCCGUGCGUUACUAUACGGUCCAGCUAAGAGAGCUUCCUGAAAGCAACUGGACAGUCCACUCAGCAUCUGUCAGCCACGAGGCCACAACCUACAUAGUAUCCAGGCUGAAACCCUUCACAUCUUACCAGUUCAGAAUAAAAGCCACCAAUGACAUAGGGGACAGCGAGUACAGUCAGGAAAGUGAAGCAAUCACAACUCUACAGGAUGUGCCUGACGAAGCACCCUCGAUUCUCUCUGUCACGCCACACACAACAACGUCAGUGCUGAUCCGCUGGCAGGUAAGAACAAACAAAAUAACUUUAUAUAUAUAUUUUACUGUUUUCAAACUCCAUGAUCUAUUCGAGUGUGGGGAACUAAGUAAACACAAGCGUUAUGAGAUACGCAUGAGUGUGUACAACGCCGUGGGUGAGGGGCCAACCAGCCCUCCACAGGAGGUGUUUGUUGGAGAAGCAGUGCCGACGGCCCCACCCCAGAAUGUGGCUAUUCAGUCCGCAACAGCCACCCAGCUGGAUGUGACGUGGGACCCUCCACCUGUGGAUGCGCAGAAUGGAGACAUCCAGGGAUACAAGAUUUACUUUUGGGAAUUCCAGCGUAAGAACGAGACUGAGCGGAUGCGGACUCUGUUUAUGCCUGAAGGAGGGGUGAAGCUGAAGAACUUGACUGGUUACACCACCUAUAUGAUCAGUGUGGCUCCAUUCAACGCUGCUGGGGACGGACCCCGAAGCCCACCAACGAGGGGACGCACUCAGCAAGCAGCUCCCAGUGCUCCCAGCUUCAUUCACUUCAGUGAACUGACCACCACCUCUGUCAAUGUGUCCUGGGGCGAGCCCACCUUCCCUAAUGGCAUCAUUGAGGGCUACCGUCUGGUCUAUGAACCCUCCACACCUGUAGAUGGCGUCAGUAAGACAGUGACGGUGGAUGUGAAGGGGACCGGCCCUCUCUGGUUGAAGAUCAGAGACCUGGCAGAUGGCGUCACGUACAACUUCCGCAUCCGGGCCAAGACCUUCAUCUACGGGCCUGAGGUGGAAGCAAAUAUCACCACGGGACCAGGGGAAGGUAGUGCCCCAGGGCCCCCUGGAGAGCCAUUUAUUACGCGCUACAGUUCGGGCCUCACCAUUCACUGGACCCCUGGAGACCCAGGACGUUCUCCCAUAACACGCUAUGUAAUUGAGGCCAGACCCUCAGAUGAGGGUUUGUGGGAUAUCUUAAUCAAGGACAUCUCCAAGGAUGCAACAUCGCACACAUUCAACAUGGACAUCCUGAAACAAGGUGUCAGUUAUGACUUUCGGGUCAUUGGAGUGAACGACUAUGGCUAUGGCUCUCCGAGUCUACCUUCUCCCUCCAUAUCUGCCCAAAAAGUGGCUCCUUUCUAUGAGGAAUGGUGGUUCCUGGUCGUGGUGGCUCUAGUGGGACUCAUCUUCAUUCUGCUGCUAGUUUUCAUCCUCAUUAUCAGAGGACAGAGCAAGAAGUAUGCAAAAAAGUCUGAAUCAGCUUGUGUUUCGCUUCCAGCCUGGUGGCAUGGAGGGUCUCCUCCCAGGCCCAGCCCAGGCAGUCUUCACUACUCGGACGAGGACGUCAGCACCAAGUACAACGACCUGAUCCCUGCAGAGAGCAGCAGCCUGACUGAAAAACCCUCGGAAAUCUCAGACUCACAGGGCAGCGACAGUGAGUAUGAGGUGGACCCUAACCGUCAGAAGACCCACUCCUUCGUCAACCACUACAUAAGUGACCCUACCUACUACAACUCCUGGCGGCGCCAACAGAAAGGCAUAUCCCGGGCGCAGGCCUACAGCUACACAGAGUCAGAGUCAGGAGAGCCGGAUCACUGCGCCCCACCACCGCUUCCCCCUCUACCUCCACUAGUUUUUAAAUGA
Molecule: long non-coding RNA, 6030 nt
Filed under: Oreochromis niloticus (Nile tilapia)
Lineage: Eukaryota; Metazoa; Chordata; Actinopteri; Cichliformes; Cichlidae
Description: lncRNA (ENSONIG00000007983.2)
Source: RNAcentral